CCUACGGGAGGCAGCAGUGAGGAAUAUUGGUCAAUGGGCGCGAGCCUGAACCAGCCAAGUAGCGUGAAGGAUGACUGCUCUACGGGUUGUAAACUUCUUUUACAAAGGAAUAAAGUGAGGCACGUGCGCCUUUUUGUAUGUACUCUAUGAAUAAGGAUCGGCUAACUCCGGGCCAGCAGCCGCGGUAAUACAUAGGGGGUAAGCGUUAUCCGGAAUUAUUGGGUGUAAAGGGUGCGUAGACGGGAGAACAAGUUGGUUGUGAAAUCCCUCGGCUCAACUGAGGAACUGCAACCAAAACUAUUCUCCUUGAGUAUCGGAGAGGAAAGUGGAAUUCCUAGUGUAGCGGUGAAAUGCGUAGAUAUUAGGAGGAACACCAGUGGCGAAGGCGACUUUCUGGACGAUAACUGACGUUGAGGCACGAAAGUGUGGGGAGCAAACAGGAUUAGAUACCCUUGUAGUC
Molecule: ribosomal RNA, 460 nt
Filed under: uncultured bacterium
Lineage: Bacteria
Description: partial 16S ribosomal RNA
Rfam family: Bacterial small subunit ribosomal RNA
Source: RNAcentral